Molecule: ribosomal RNA, 468 nt
Filed under: uncultured bacterium
Lineage: Bacteria
Description: bacterial SSU rRNA
Rfam family: Bacterial small subunit ribosomal RNA
Source: RNAcentral
CGGGACGACGCUGGCGGCGUGCUUAACACAUGCAAGUCGAACGGUGACGAGGAGCUUGCUCCUCUGAUCAGUGGCGAACGGGUGAGUAACACGUGAGCAACCUGCCCCAGACUCUGGGAUAACAGUUGGAAACAGCUGCUAAUACCGGAUACGAGACGGAGAGGCAUCUCUACCGUCUGGAAAGUUUUUCGGUCUGGGAUGGACUCGCGGCCUAUCAGCUAGUUGGUGAGGUAAUGGCUCACCAAGGCGACGACGGGUAGCCGGCCUGAGAGGGCGACCGGCCACACUGGGACUGAGACACGGCCCAGACUCCUACGGGAGGCAGCAGUGGGGAAUAUUGCACAAUGGGUGAAAGCCUGAUGCAGCGACGCCGCGUGAGGGAUGACGGCCUUCGGGUUGUAAACCUCUUUCAGCAGGGAAGAAGCGAAAGUGACGGUACCUGCAGAAGAAGCACCGGCUAACUACGUG